This 352-nucleotide ribosomal RNA is filed under the name uncultured bacterium. Its description in RNAcentral is "bacterial SSU rRNA". It matches the Rfam family "Bacterial small subunit ribosomal RNA", at positions 527 to 881 of the family's 1533-position model. The record is from RNAcentral.
GGAAGGUGCAAGCGUUAAUCGGAAUCACUGGGCGUAAAGCGCACGUAGGCGGCUUGGUAAGUCAGGGGUGAAAUCCCACAGCCCAACUGUGGAACUGCCUUUGAUACUGCCAGGCUUGAGUACCAGAGAGGGUGGCGGAAUUCCAGGUGUAGGAGUGAAAUCCGUAGAUAUCUGGAGGAACACCGGUGGCGAAGGCGGCCACCUGGACGGUAACUGACGCUGAGGUGCGAAAGCGUGGGUAGCAAACAGGAUUAGAUACCCUGGUAGUCCACGCUGUAAACGAUGGGUGCUGGGUGCUGGGAUGUAUGUCUCGGUGCCGUAGCUAACGCGAUAAGCACCCCGCCUGGGGAGU